This 302-nucleotide ribosomal RNA is filed under the name Alpheus lottini. Its description in RNAcentral is "partial 16S ribosomal RNA". It matches the Rfam family "Bacterial large subunit ribosomal RNA", at positions 1973 to 2485 of the family's 2925-position model. The record is from RNAcentral. Lineage: Eukaryota; Metazoa; Arthropoda; Malacostraca; Decapoda; Alpheidae.
CCCUUAAUUGGGGGCUUGAAUGAACGGUCGGACAUGAAGGAAGCUGUCUCGGCGCGGAGGACGUGAAAUUAACUUUUGUGUGAAAAGGCAUUAAUGGGUUAGGGGGACGAUAAGACCCUAUAAAACUUGAUGGGUGGGUGUCCGGGCCAGGAGUUGGGUGUAAGGGGGCCCGGGCGGUGUCCAUUUUGCUGGGGCGGCAGGAAUGUAAUCAGUAACCGUUCUUCAGGUGGAAUGGUGAUAGCCAGAUUUUGACCCUGGAUUCUGGGUUAGGAGUGUAAGUUACUUUAGGGAUAACAGCGUUA